GAGCUUCAGUUGAGGAAAUGCCUCCAUGAGAUCCAGCUGUAGGAGACUUUGUGAUGGUUUGAAGAAGAACUGUCCCCCAGAGGUUCCAUCCCUAGUUGCUGGUGCUAUCUGAAGGUUACAUCGAGGGGCAGGCUAGCCGCAAGAAGUACAUCACUGUGGUCAGGCCAUGAGAGUUCACAGCCUUGCUCCACUCCCAGUUUGCUUUCACUGCUUCAAGCUGUGGUUGAGUUGUGACCUCUCAGCUUCCAGCCACCAAGCCCACUGAUUGCUUCAAUGCCUUCUCAGCAAGAUGUGACUCUGUUUGUUUG
Molecule: long non-coding RNA, 308 nt
Organism: Mus musculus (house mouse)
Lineage: Eukaryota; Metazoa; Chordata; Mammalia; Rodentia; Muridae
Product: predicted gene, 57794
Exons: 2
Source: RefSeq, a predicted model, not a curated record